AGAGAGUUUGAUCCUGGCUCAGGACGAACGCUGGCGGCGUGCCUAAUACAUGCAAGUCGAACGCUUCUUUUUCCACCGGAGCUUGCUCCACCGGAAAAAGAGGAGUGGCGAACGGGUGAGUAACACGUGGGUAACCUGCCCAUCAGAAGGGGAUAACACUUGGAAACAGGUGCUAAUACCGUAUAACAAUCGAAACCGCAUGGUUUUGAUUUGAAAGGCGCUUUCGGGUGUCGCUGAUGGAUGGACCCGCGGUGCAUUAGCUAGUUGGUGAGGUAACGGCUCACCAAGGCCACGAUGCAUAGCCGACCUGAGAGGGUGAUCGGCCACAUUGGGACUGAGACACGGCCCAAACUCCUACGGGAGGCAGCAGUAGGGAAUCUUCGGCAAUGGACGAAAGUCUGACCGAGCAACGCCGCGUGAGUGAAGAAGGUUUUCGGAUCGUAAAACUCUGUUGUUAGAGAAGAACAAGGAUGAGAGUAACUGUUCAUCCCUUGACGGUAUCUAACCAGAAAGCCACGGCUAACUACGUGCCAGCAGCCGCGGUAAUACGUAGGUGGCAAGCGUUGUCCGGAUUUAUUGGGCGUAAAGCGAGCGCAGGCGGUUUUUUUUCUAAAAUAAUCAAUCAGAUACUUUGUUAGAAGAAUCCCUAAGAAAAAGGGAGACUUGAGUGCAGAAGAGGAGAGUGGAAUUCCAUGUGUAGCGGUGAAAUGCGUAGAUAUAUGGAGGAACACCAGUGGCGAAGGCGGCUCUCUGGUCUGUAACUGACGCUGAGGCUCGAAAGCGUGGGGAGCAAACAGGAUUAGAUACCCUGGUAGUCCACGCCGUAAACGAUGAGUGCUAAGUGUUGGAGGGUUUCCGCCCUUCAGUGCUGCAGCUAACGCAUUAAGCACUCCGCCUGGGGAGUACGACCGCAAGGUUGAAACUCAAAGGAAUUGACGGGGGCCCGCACAAGCGGUGGAGCAUGUGGUUUAAUUCGAAGCAACGCGAAGAACCUUACCAGGUCUUGACAAUAACCAACUUUAAAUAACCAACUUUAAAUAACCAACUUGAAAUAAACAAAUUCAAAGAAGUGUCGUCAGCUCGUGUCGUGAGAUGUUGGGUUAAGUCCCGCAACGAGCGCAACCCUUAUUGUUAGUUGCCAUCAUUCAGUUGGGCACUCUAGCAAGACUGCCGGUGACAAACCGGAGGAAGGUGGGGAUGACGUCAAAUCAUCAUGCCCCUUAUGACCUGGGCUACACACGUGCUACAAUGGGAAGUACAACGAGUUGCGAAGUCGCGAGGCUAAGCUAAUCUCUUAAAGCUUCUCUCAGUUCGGAUUGCAGGCUGCAACUCGCCUGCAUGAAGCCGGAAUCGCUAGUAAUCGCGGAUCAGCACGCCGCGGUGAAUACGUUCCCGGGCCUUGUACACACCGCCCGUCACACCACGAGAGUUUGUAACACCCGAAGUCGGUGAGGUAACCUUUUGGAGCCAGCCGCCUAAGGUGGGAUAGAUGAUUGGGGUGAAGUCGUAACAAGGUAGCCGUAUCGGAAGGUGCGGCUGGAUCACCUCCUUU
RNAcentral lists this ribosomal RNA (1552 nucleotides) under Enterococcus faecium. Its description in RNAcentral is "bacterial SSU rRNA". It matches the Rfam family "Bacterial small subunit ribosomal RNA". Lineage: Bacteria; Bacillati; Bacillota; Bacilli; Lactobacillales; Enterococcaceae. The record is from RNAcentral.